RNAcentral lists this unclassified non-coding RNA (263 nucleotides) under plant metagenome. RNAcentral describes it as "partial contains small subunit ribosomal RNA, internal transcribed spacer 1, and 5.8S ribosomal RNA". The record is from RNAcentral.
UUUCCGCAGGUGAACCUGCGGAAGGAUCAUUAUUGUAUAACCGAGGUGCGAGGGCUGUCGCUGACCCGAAAGGUCGUGCACGCCCGAGUGCCCUCACACACAUCCAUCUCACCCCUAUAUGCACCACCGCGUGGGUCCCCCUUUGGCUUGUUCGGAGGGGGGCUUACGUUUUCACACAAACUUUGUAUGCAGUGUAGAAUGUAUUUUUUGUUUUUGCGAUCACGCAAUCAAUACAACUUUCAACAACGGAUCUCUUGGCUCUC